Brassica rapa (field mustard) is the source of this 3156-nucleotide long non-coding RNA. RefSeq lists it as uncharacterized. NCBI's taxonomy places the organism in Eukaryota, Viridiplantae, Streptophyta, Magnoliopsida, Brassicales, Brassicaceae. The record is from RefSeq and is a predicted model, not a curated record.
AAAAAAUUUCCUAUUCUCCAAUUUGUUUUUGUUUUUGUUUUGUUGCUGAGAGAAACAUCUUGGGCUUUCGAAGCUUCGAGCCAAGAAUGAGUGCCGUAGGGAUGGAUCUUUGGGUUUAAAUUCGUGUUCGGUUUAGCAAAGGUGGAGGGCAGUCAAGAGAGUAAAGAGAAAUAUAAUGCAAAACUAUAUAUCAAAAAUAAAGGGACAUUACACUAAAGAAGUCUGUAUGAAUUGAAAAUUUUGAAGUUUCAACCAGAGCAUUGCUAUUACAAAGGUUUUCAAAAUUGAGUAUAUAUACAUAUAUAUCUUUUUGUGUGCACCAAUUGAGUAAAUAUCUCACUCUAUACUCAUGUAAAAAUAUCUCAAAAUUUAUAAAAAAUACUUGUGUUUUUUUUGUAUAGGUAUCUCAAUAUUUAUACUAGCUUAAUUAUGUAUAAUUUAUUUUCUUGAUUAGAGUGAAAGAUUCAUUUUUGAAAAUCUUUCCGAUCUUUUUUUUUUGGCAGCAUCUGAUCUUUCCGAUCUUAAGAUGAUGAUAUUAGCUAAAUAUAAUUAAGUAUCGUGGUUGUUAUAAAAGAUUGCCAUUCAAAAUAAUGAAAUUUUACACCUUCUAUUUAAAAUUAAACGUGUUGGUGAUUAUUUUUCAAACAAGUUAUUAUUUCAGGUUUUGAAUGUAAAUUUUUAAAUAUUGUACAAUUUCAUCUCAAUGCAUUUUCCUUUUAGAAAUAAUAGUUUUUCAUAUUUUCCUAAUGUAUGUAGGAAAAAAUUAAACAAUAUCGAUUAUAUUUCAUUUUUUCAAAAAAAAAAAUAUCGAUUAUAUUUCACUUGAUUAAUAAAUAUACAUUGCAAUACAGAAAAUAUCUUAUAGGAAAUUUUGUAUAAAAAUGAAAAUAUAAUCUACAUUAUAAUAAUGAGGCAUUUUGCCACUCCUCAAUAUGUCACGUCAGCAUUUUGUGGAUCCCACUUUUAAAAAGUGUGAGAAAAGUAUCAAAUUCAUGGUUCAAAUCCGGAUUAUAGAGAUAUAAACACCAACAUUUAUACCACUAAACUAAAGGGUAUAUUAUACAUUGAUGGCCGAAAUUAAUAUAUAUUUAUGAAGAUCGGAAGUCCUUGCUUCUUCGGCUUCCUUCUGAGGGUCGGGCCUAUAAGUGUAUUAUAGGUUUUAUUUUUAAAUGAAAUUCAUCACAUUAUAUGAAAAAAGGCUCAAGUUUGCAACAAUUAUAGUUUUUUCAUAUUGUAAAUUGUCAUCGUUUAACAUGAGUUAGGGUUCUUUUCAUCAUUGUCCCAGACAAGUCUGAGUUACAGAGUUGCGCCGUGUGUCUAUUCGUAAUCUAUUUUUUCAUUGGUGAACUCUUCAUCUCCCCAUCUUAAAACACUUGAUCAUAAAUGUUCCUGAUUUGUAGUCCCUCCAUAAACCCUAUAUAUAUAUAUAUAUAUAUAUGAUUCUCAUCAUUGAUGAACCCAAUCUAUAUCUCUACAAAAGUAAUUGUUUUCUCGUAGCUUUAACCAUCUUCUAGAAAAUGUCUAUCUUUGCCUCUCCAGUUUCUCAAACCGACGUCUCCGGCGUCCGUCACUCACCUUCGAGUCUCUCCGUCUUGGUCGUAGUAGUCAGAGCAUAGCCUCUGGCCUUCUCCACUUUUGGGAUUCCCUGAACUUCAAGAAAGACAAUGAGAUUAUGAGAAUCACAAUUCUCUUCCUUGAUGAAAAUGUAAGUUAAUCUUCGAUCUAUCCCACUUAUUUAACAUAAUUGUUUUUAAUUGAUUUCCUGAUUCUUUUUUGAAUAAUAUUAUUUACAGAUUCCGUGAUUCAUGGUUUUAUUCUCGUUGGACGUGCUAAUCACUACAGGCUAUCUUUGAAAGCCGGUUCCAUUGUGAAAGUCGUUCGUUUUGGGGUUGCUAGGUGCUCAAGCAUGUACAAGCUAACUGAUCAUCCAUUCUUCAUUCGUUUCAUCUCACCAACCAUUAUCGAUGAAGUCAUCACGGGUGCUCCUGAGAUCAAUCUUCAGUCAUGAUUAGACUGUUAGACAAUCUCCAAGUGAUUGCGAACAAAAACCUAAAACUCCUAUGUAUAUUAUCAUAUUGCAUCUAUGUUUAUAUUAUGUUUUGAUAUCAUAACUGAUAUUUAAACUCGCAGAUGUGGUUUGAUAAAUCCGUUCUAUCCAAGGCUAUGACCUCACCAAAGAAACAACUCGAGUCGUUAUCCGUCUCUUCAUUGAUCCGUAAGAAAUAAUUAACACACAAUUCCCUUUAUAUUGCUGUAUAUAUUGUGCUACCAUCAAUAAUUAAAAAUAUUUCCUACCCAAGAUCUUUGGCCGUCUAUUUAUCUUCAUUACUUAUCAAACUAAUUUUACACAAACUUUUAUUUUGCAGUUUAAAAGAAACCACAACAGCCCAAAUAAUUAAAACACCAAAAAUUAGAAUCUCAAAAAGACGAAUUAUUAAUGAUCACCUUUUUUUUUUCUAAUCGUACAAAUAAACCUAAAACAAAUAUACCAAACAAAUCACAUCUACUAAACUCAACGACACAAUACAUUGAGUCAGCAUAAAAAAAUACAAACUACACGUCCAGAUAUUUAACAAUUUACAAACUUACUUUCGCAGAUGCUUACGAAGAUGACGAAGACGACAACCAAAAUGAGUGAAAUUACCUAAACAAAAAAGUAAAGUAAGUUACGAACUCUGAUAAAUACAACUAACAAUGAUUUUUGUUUACAUAUUACACAUCAAAUAAAAGAGAAACAACCACAACCACACCAGGAGAUACAAGAGACAAUCCCGACAUACACAAAAGCGGCAACAACAUCUCCACCUACUUACUCCUCUUGUCUUAUGAAAAUAGCUUACAUGCCCAAUGUCAACAGGCCAAUGCUAUUGUCUUCUUAUGAGAAAUACAUAAAUUCGUUUAAAACCCAUUAAGACCUAAAUAUUCAAAAUUAUCACUCAUUUUAUAGUUAUUUCUACAAGUCUUCACAUAUUUGGUUUAGAUGUCCGGUAAAAGCAACAAGUUUAAAACUAAAAAAACAUAUAAAAAACAUAAUAAGAAUAAUAAAAAUUAUUACUUAAUACACACAACUUACACAAUUAAACUGGAAAAAAAAUAUCCAGAAACAAAAGGUACUUUCAACAACCUUAAUAUAUUUAUGUACUCUCAACAGUACAA